CACAAGAGACGAAGCUCUAGUGCUUUAUUGACAACCGCCGCUAGAUGGCGCAGCGGUAGCGCUGCCGCCAUUUUGGAUUGUGGGACAACAGUUACACAGCACACAACCUAGUACCGACACCAUGAGCUCGAAAGCGAAGUCGAAGUGGAAAAACAACAGAAAGUUAUGUUCAUCAAUUAACUGCAACAACUAUCAAUUCGAUAGUAAACAUAGUCUUGCCUUUCACCGUUUCCCUAAAGACCCUGAAAGGUAAUUAUUCACAAAAGUGAAGAAAGCAUUUUCAUAUUAAUUUCGAUUUAUAUGAAUAUGCCUCUUAGUAAGAAUGGGUUAUUAAAUUAAAUACAGUGGCCGAAUUCAAUUAAUUGAUAACCUAUUAUUGUCUGUAAGACAUGCUAUGGCGGGAGGACACCAGUUUGUUAUAAGGUGUUGCUAUAAGGUUUGCUACUCAGGUCCUGAGCCACUCAGUUGCUGUGGGGAUAAAGACCUUGGCACAGGUCAAGCACAGAGGAACUACAUGGCAGUUGCCAAAUUCUGUGAAAACUUUGAUGGCAUCUUCAACUGCUUCAACUCCAAGCAGCUCAAGGAUUCCCACAAGCUGAAGUCUGCUCUCUCAGAUGCAUCAGCGCAUUUCCCAUUCAUGGAAAAGUGUAUGGAGUGGCUUCCCCGCCUGAAGCUUGUCGGUGCUGGCCCUGGAACCAAGCAGAUCCCAUGUGUAGAGGGGUGGCAGCACAACAUCGUGUGCUUGAAAAUGAUAUGGUGUGAUCUCCGUGAACGUCACCAAGUGUCCUAACUUUUGACAAAUCGUUUGAAUCAAGACUGCCUUGAGAAUGCCUACUCAACCAUUAGGGCUUGUGGUGGUAACCGUGACAGCCCAGACUCUGUCCAAUUUGAGUGUGAAUACAGUGGCUACUGGAUUGAUAUUUAACAUCUCAGAGAAGACCAACUGUGAGCAAGACCUUGACACCUUCCUGCUGCAGUUCAGCACAUAUGCCUCCCAGGAUAGCCUCCAGGUCAACAUCGACGCAGACCAGAUCUCAGCUGAACAUCGCUAUACCUCCCAGUAUAGUCCCAGGAUCACCAUCAGUUCUGAGAUUAUGGACGAACACAGCUAUGCUAGAGUGACUACUGAUUGUGGAGAAGCUGAGAUGGUUCCGUGCGGGAAUAUGCAGAUCCAGUCGUCACUGCUAAUACCGGAGCCACAUCGGACCAGGUGGAGGAGCCAAUGGACUAUUCACUAGACAGUCAGUUUGAUUCCCACCAAACACCUUCUUGUUGCUCUGGAGAUCAUGAAGAGCCUAUGGACAGCUCCAUGGUCGUCCACUCAAUCUGUGAAUCAGAAAGUUCAGGGAGAGUGCUCAGCCAGGACCAGCUACCUACGUCUAGUAAAACUGAGAAUCUCAGAAUCCAGGGAGAGUGCUCAGCCAGGAACAGCUACCUACAAGAACAUGAGGUCUAGGCAACUCAGAAUCAGAAACAGUGAUGCUGUGCUGGAGUCUGAUGUCAAGCCCCCUUGAAGGUGUCCUGCCAAAAUGUGUCCUGGACCUGCUGAGUGAGAUGACACCACCAGUUUCAGCAACAUCUGCCUUUGACCAUGAUGGAAGUGUACUGGUUUACAUGGCUGGGUAUUUGGGCAGUAAGUUUGUGGGGAAAUUUGCAGACAGUAAAGAGGGUCCCUGCAAGGAAUGCAAAAUGUUGACCACAGAUAUCCCUGCUGAUCCAAGGUACACAUUCCUCAAGGACAAACAGUACAUUGAUCUCAACUUAGGAGAGAAGGGCCUUAAAGUGCCCAGCAUGGCACUGCUAAACUUAAUCAUAGCCCUGGAGUCGAACUUCAGAAAAAAGAUCAGCUCCACACAGCUGGCCUGGGAAGGAAGCUGUUUAUCAGUUGUAUGGAGAUUGUGAGUGAGUGCAGGGGAGUGGUGUGUGACAAGGAGAAGUGCAAAAAGUCACUUAUCUACAUGGUUAGACUAUAUAUACGGAUCAGAAUUCAUCACAUUUUACGCACCCAAAAUUGCAGAAUCUCAGAGCCAAAUCAGAAGCGCAAUAGAAAAUUUCUCAAAAUAAGUCAUCAGUAAAUCAUGUCAUGUUUGUCAUUUUUGUUGUUUAAUAAAUUAAAUUCUGAAUGAAUGGUUUA
This is a long non-coding RNA of Myxocyprinus asiaticus (Chinese sucker), 2134 nucleotides long. RefSeq lists it as uncharacterized. NCBI's taxonomy places the organism in Eukaryota, Metazoa, Chordata, Actinopteri, Cypriniformes, Catostomidae. The transcript is spliced from 4 exons. The record is from RefSeq and is a predicted model, not a curated record.